Molecule: unclassified non-coding RNA, 253 nt
Filed under: uncultured Oscillospiraceae bacterium
Lineage: Bacteria; Bacillati; Bacillota; Clostridia; Eubacteriales; Oscillospiraceae
Description: contains 16S-23S intergenic spacer region
Rfam family: Bacterial small subunit ribosomal RNA
Source: RNAcentral
UACGUAGGUGGCAAGCGUUGUCCGGAUUUACUGGGUGUAAAGGGUGUGUAGGCGGGAUGGUAAGUCAGAUGUGAAAACUAUGGGCUCAACUCAUAGCCUGCAUUUGAAACUACUGUUCUUGAGGGUCGGAGAGGUAACUGGAAUUCCAUGUGUAGCGGUGAAAUGCGUAGAUAUAUGGAGGAACACCAGUGGCGAAGGCGGGUUACUGGACGACACCUGACGCUGAGACACGAAAGUGUGGGGAGCAAACAGG